RNAcentral lists this small RNA (132 nucleotides) under Salmonella enterica. RNAcentral describes it as "RtT sRNA". It matches the Rfam family "RtT RNA". Rfam says of the family: This family represents a bacterial cis-regulatory element known as RtT RNA. The exact function of RtT is unknown although it is thought that it may be involved in changing the cellular response in relation to amino acid starvation. RNAcentral also lists the same sequence under 1 other name. The record is from RNAcentral. Lineage: Bacteria; Pseudomonadati; Pseudomonadota; Gammaproteobacteria; Enterobacterales; Enterobacteriaceae.
GUUUGCACUUGUCGGGGAAGGGUGAGAACCUUCGAUUAAGGUUCGACUCGAGCGAAAGCGAGAGAACGUUGCCAACGGCAACGGCCCGUAGGGUGAGGAGCGAAGCGACGAAUAAUCUUUCCCCCACCACCA